AAAUUGAAGAGUUUGAUCAUGGCUCAGAUUGAACGCUGGCGGCAGGCCUAACACAUGCAAGUCGAACGGUAACAGGAAGCAGCUUGCUGCUUCGCUGACGAGUGGCGGACGGGUGAGUAAUGUCUGGGAAACUGCCUGAUGGAGGGGGAUAACUACUGGAAACGGUGGCUAAUACCGCAUAACGUCGCAAGACCAAAGAGGGGGACCUUCGGGCCUCUUGCCAUCAGAUGUGCCCAGAUGGGAUUAGCUUGUUGGUGAGGUAACGGCUCACCAAGGCGACGAUCCCUAGCUGGUCUGAGAGGAUGACCAGCCACACUGGAACUGAGACACGGUCCAGACUCCUACGGGAGGCAGCAGUGGGGAAUAUUGCACAAUGGGCGCAAGCCUGAUGCAGCCAUGCCGCGUGUAUGAAGAAGGCCUUCGGGUUGUAAAGUACUUUCAGCGGGGAGGAAGGUGUUGUGGUUAAUAACCGCAGCAAUUGACGUUACCCGCAGAAGAAGCACCGGCUAACUCCGUGCCAGCAGCCGCGGUAAUACGGAGGGUGCAAGCGUUAAUCGGAAUUACUGGGCGUAAAGCGCACGCAGGCGGUCUGUCAAGUCGGAUGUGAAAUCCCCGGGCUCAACCUGGGAACUGCAUUCGAAACUGGCAGGCUUGAGUCUUGUAGAGGGGGGUAGAAUUCCAGGUGUAGCGGUGAAAUGCGUAGAGAUCUGGAGGAAUACCGGUGGCGAAGGCGGCCCCCUGGACAAAGACUGACGCUCAGGUGCGAAAGCGUGGGGAGCAAACAGGAUUAGAUACCCUGGUAGUCCACGCCGUAAACGAUGUCUACUUGGAGGUUGUGCCCUUGAGGCGUGGCUUCCGGAGCUAACGCGUUAAGUAGACCGCCUGGGGAGUACGGCCGCAAGGUUAAAACUCAAAUGAAUUGACGGGGGCCCGCACAAGCGGUGGAGCAUGUGGUUUAAUUCGAUGCAACGCGAAGAACCUUACCUGGUCUUGACAUCCACAGAAGAAUCCAGAGAUGGAUUUGUGCCUUCGGGAACUGUGAGACAGGUGCUGCAUGGCUGUCGUCAGCUCGUGUUGUGAAAUGUUGGGUUAAGUCCCGCAACGAGCGCAACCCUUAUCCUUUGUUGCCAGCGGUUAGGCCGGGAACUCAAAGGAGACUGCCAGUGAUAAACUGGAGGAAGGUGGGGAUGACGUCAAGUCAUCAUGGCCCUUACGACCAGGGCUACACACGUGCUACAAUGGCGCAUACAAAGAGAAGCGACCUCGCGAGAGCAAGCGGACCUCAUAAAGUGCGUCGUAGUCCGGAUUGGAGUCUGCAACUCGACUCCAUGAAGUCGGAAUCGCUAGUAAUCGUGGAUCAGAAUGCCACGGUGAAUACGUUCCCGGGCCUUGUACACACCGCCCGUCACACCAUGGGAGUGGGUUGCAAAAGAAGUAGGUAGCUUAACCUUCGGGAGGGCGCUUACCACUUUGUGAUUCAUGACUGGGGUGAAGUCGUAACAAGGUAACCGUAGGGGAACCUGCGGUUGGAUCACCUCCUUACCUUAAAGAA
Molecule: ribosomal RNA, 1552 nt
Filed under: Salmonella enterica subsp. enterica serovar Infantis
Lineage: Bacteria; Pseudomonadati; Pseudomonadota; Gammaproteobacteria; Enterobacterales; Enterobacteriaceae
Also listed under: 14 other names
Description: bacterial SSU rRNA
Rfam family: Bacterial small subunit ribosomal RNA
Source: RNAcentral